AAAAGUGAAAUCCCAAGGCUCAACCUUGGAAUUGCUUUAAAACUGCUAAUCUAGAGAUUGAAAGAGGAUAGAGGAAUUCCUAGUGUAGAGGUGAAAUUCGUAAAUAUUAGGAAGAACACCAGUGGCGAAGGCGUCUAUCUGGUUCAAAUCUGACGCUGAGGCGCGAAGGCGUGGGGAGCAAACAGGAUUAGAUACCCUGGUAGUCCACGCUGUAAACGAUGAAUGUUAAAUAUGGGAAGUUUUACUUUCUGUAUUACAGCUAACGCGUUAAACAUUCCGCCUGGGGACUACGGUCGCAAGAUUAAAACUCAAAGGAAUUGACGGGGACCCGCACAAGCGGUGGAGCAUGUGGUUUAAUUCGAUGCAACGCGAAAAACCUUACCACUCCUUGACAUGGAAAUUAUACCUAUUCGAAGGGAUAGGGUCGGUUCGUCCGGGUUUCACACAGGUGUUGCAUGGCUGUCGUCAGCUCGUGUCGUGAGAUGUUGGGUUAAGUCCCGCAACGAGCGCGACCCUCAUCCUUAGUUACCAUCAGGUAAUGCUGGGGACUUUAAGGAAACUGCCAGUGAUAAACUGGAGGAAGGUGGGGAUGAUGUCAAGUCAUCAUGGCCCUUAUGGAGUGGGCUACACACGUGCUACAAUGGUGGCUACAAUGGGCUGCAAAGUCGCGAGGCUAAGCUAAUCCCUUAAAAGCCAUCUCAGUUCGGAUUGUACUCUGCAACUCGAGUGCAUGAAGUUGGAAUCGCUAGUAAUCGUGGAUCAGCACGCCACGGUGAAUACGUUCUCGGGUCUUGUACACACUGCCCGUCACGCCAUGGGAAUUGGUUUCACUCGAAGCUAACGACCUAACAGCAAGGAGGGAGUUAUUUAAAGUGGGAUCGGUGACUGGGGAGAAGUCGUAACAAGGUAGCAGUAGGGGAAUCUGCGGC
RNAcentral lists this ribosomal RNA (929 nucleotides) under uncultured bacterium. Its description in RNAcentral is "bacterial SSU rRNA". It matches the Rfam family "Bacterial small subunit ribosomal RNA", at positions 590 to 1518 of the family's 1533-position model. The record is from RNAcentral.